Molecule: ribosomal RNA, 1290 nt
Filed under: uncultured bacterium
Lineage: Bacteria
Description: bacterial SSU rRNA
Rfam family: Bacterial small subunit ribosomal RNA
Source: RNAcentral
GGGCAGCGGUGGUGAAGGCUUGCCUUUACCAGCCGGCGACCGGCGCACGGGUGAGUAACACGUAUGCAACCUGCCUGCCACAGCCGGAUAAUCGGGAGAAAUUCCGUCUAAUACGGCAUAAUGCACCUAUGGGACAUCCUGUUGGUGCCAAAGGUUGAUUCCGGUGGCGGAUGGGCAUGCGUCGCAUUAGUUAGUUGGCGGUGUAACGGACCACCAAGACGACGAUGCGUAGGGGUUCUGAGAGGAAGGUCCCCCACACUGGUACUGAGACACGGACCAGACUCCUACGGGAGGCAGCAGUGAGGAAUAUUGGUCAAUGGGCGGGAGCCUGAACCAGCCAAGUCGCGUGAGGGAUGACGGCCCUAUGGGUUGUAAACCUCUUUUGCCGGGGAGCAAAGUGCCGCACGUGUGCGGUUUGGAGAGUACCCGGAGAAAAAGCAUCGGCUAACUCCGUGCCAGCAGCCGCGGUAAUACGGAGGAUGCGAGCGUUAUCCGGAUUUAUUGGGUUUAAAGGGUGCGUAGGCGGACGCUUAAGUCAGCGGUAAAAUUGCGGGGCUCAACCUCGUCGAGCCGUCCCAACUGGGUGCCUUGAGUGGGCGAGAAGUACGCGGAAUGCGUGGUGUAGCGGUGAAAUGCAUAGAUAUCAGGCGGAAUUCGGAUUGCGAAGGCAGCGUACGGGCGCCCAACUGACGCUGAAGCACGAAGGCGUGGGUAUCGAACAGGAUUAGAUACCCUGGUAGUCCACGCAGUAAACGAUGAAUGCUAGUUGUCCGGGGCGAUUGAGUUCUGGGUGACACAGCGAAAGCGUUAAGCAUUCCACCUGGGGAGUACGCCGGCAACGGUGAAACUCAAAGGAAUUGACGGGGGCCCGCACAAGCGGAGGAACAUGUGGUUUAAUUCGAUGAUACGCGAGGAACCUUACCCGGGCUCAAACGCAGGAGGGAUGUUUUUGAAAGGAGGCAGCCAGCAAUGGUCUCCUGCGAGGUGCUGCAUGGUUGUCGUCAGCUCGUGCCGUGAGGUGUCGGCUUAAGUGCCAUAACGAGCGCAACCCCUACCUACAGUUGCCAUCGCGUGAUGGCGGGCACUCUGUGGGGACUGCCUGCGCAAGCAGUGAGGAAGGCGGGGAUGACGUCAAAUCAGCACGGCCCUUACGUCCGGGGCGACACACGUGUUACAAUGGCAGGUACAGCGGGAAGCCACCCGGCGACGGGGCGCGGAACCCGAAAACCUGUCUCAGUUCGGAUUGGAGUCUGCAACCCGACUCCAUGAAGCUGGAUUCGCUAGUAAUCG